Molecule: long non-coding RNA, 313 nt
Filed under: Panax ginseng (ginseng)
Lineage: Eukaryota; Viridiplantae; Streptophyta; Magnoliopsida; Apiales; Araliaceae
Description: long non-coding RNA (PGIN_LNC008191)
Source: RNAcentral
UCGUCUCCCACACUGCACUGGGUCUCAGUCGUACGACCUGUACCGGGAGAGACUCGAGGUGAGUUUAAAGCAUGCACCCUCCCGCUUGGAGUUUUGGUGGCACGCCCACCAAAAGAAAGGUGAUGGUGGUUAUAUCUCACCUGAGGCAGAACGCAUUGUUGUAAGUUAUGUAAUUAUCUUAUUUAGUAUGUAUGUAAAAUUCAGAUAUUCUUUUGUAUUAUUUCAUUUUAUUCUUUGUGUAUCAUCUACUAAUGUGUUUUUUCUCAGCGACGAUUCGAGGAUCUUGCAGUGGCCCGGAGCAGCCAGAGAGGUG